Molecule: ribosomal RNA, 497 nt
Filed under: uncultured bacterium
Lineage: Bacteria
Description: partial 16S ribosomal RNA
Rfam family: Bacterial small subunit ribosomal RNA
Source: RNAcentral
GACGAACGCUGGCGGCGUGCCUAAUACAUGCAAGUUGAGCGAUGAAGAUUGGUGCUUGCACCAAUUUGAAGAGCAGCGAACGGGUGAGUAACGCGUGGGGAAUCUGCCUUUGAGCGGGGGACAACAUUUGGAAACGAAUGCUAAUACCGCAUAACAACUUUAAACAUAAGUUUUAAGUUUGAAAGAUGCAAUUGCAUCACUCAAAGAUGAUCCCGCGUUGUAUUAGCUAGUUGGUGAGGUAAAGGCUCACCAAGGCGAUGAUACAUAGCCGACCUGAGAGGGUGAUCGGCCACAUUGGGACUGAGACACGGCCCAAACUCCUACGGGAGGCAGCAGUAGGGAAUCUUCGGCAAUGGACGAAAGGCUGGCCGAGCAACGCCGCGUGAGUGAAGAAGGGUUUCGGAUCGUAAAACUCUGUUGGUAGAGAAGAACGUUGGUGAGAGUGGAAAGCUCAUCAAGUGACGGUAACUACCCAGAAAGGGACGGCUAACUACGUG